Molecule: unclassified non-coding RNA, 1065 nt
Filed under: Hevea brasiliensis (rubber tree)
Lineage: Eukaryota; Viridiplantae; Streptophyta; Magnoliopsida; Malpighiales; Euphorbiaceae
Source: RNAcentral
GGUAAGGGUAGGAAACCAUGAAAAAGUUAAUUCAGAUCCUAAUCACGCCUAUAUAUAAACCCCAUAAGCAUGCAUUGAUAAUUUAUUCUCUCAAUAUUCGGUGGGUUUCAGUGACUGUGAGUUUCACCAGAAGAAUUGAUGUCAACCUAAAUUCUACAAGCAUGUUGCUAAAUCCCAUGCAGCCACCGAUUUACUUUCUCGAGCUUCGCUUCCAUUUCAAUUACAGAGAAUUGCUCAGAAACCUUGAAGGCGACCUGAUCGAGAUUCAAGCCUACCCAACUGCUCCAACCUCCUCUUUCCUCUUCCAGAUUCGUUCUUAUGAUCACCUAUUUGAUCAGCCACCCUACAAAAGCCAUCUUGAUGGCCUUUUCUCUUUCUUCAAUCUUGAUGACCCACUACACGAUUUCUUGGCUUAUCGCAUUGCAAGCUUCCUCGUUUUCAUAGCCAAUAAGCAACCUUUCUUGGGGUUUCAUGUGGUGACCGAUGUGGGGAUUACUCAUCAAGACUUGAUUGAUGAAGAUCCCAUUGAUCUGACGAUAUUAAUGGACGAAAAGCACCAAGAAGUGGUUCCCAGAGGUGCAUCGAGUUCCGCACUAAACAGUUGAAGAAGCAGAGCUCUUUUGAAAAGCAGGGCAGCGGUGAUGGUGAUGAAUUAUCGGGCGUUUGUGUGAUUUGUUUGGAGGGAUUAUUUGGUAACCGGGUCGCACUCACAGAGAUGACGUGCACUCAUGUAUUUCAUGAACGGUACAUCACUCGAUGGUUGAAGAUUCAGAAUUCAUGCCCGACUUGUCGACUGGAACUUGAGGACUGAAUGCUGCUGAUUCUACAAUUUAUAGAUGCCAAUUAUAUUUUCUGCCACAGUUGUCAAUUGUAGCCAUGAAAUUACAUUAACUUCAUCAAAAUCUGAUUCCUAGUAAUGGGUAGUUUACAAGGGUUAUAGGAUUUUUUUUUCCUUCAUACUUACCAUCAAAUUUCACUCUAUGCUUUGCACUCGGAAACACUAAUUAUUCUGUAGUUAGCAAAAGCAUUAUGCUUUCAUUAUUUUGUUGCAGAUAAGAUAGUGCG